UUGUGUUUCAAGGGCUCCCGCGAGGCAGCAGUGCUCCAAGUAAUUUUACCAUUCUAUAUAUUUUCUAUUUUGCAUCAUUCUUCCACGAUGGAUUUUAAUGUUAAUAGUAUUUGUCAUUAGUCAUCGCCAUAAUGUUAUAGCACGUAGAUUUUACGCACUUCACAUCGACAAUUUUUAGGCCAGUUUACAGCCAAGUCACAUCUUCCAUAAUACAUCGUCAACAUUACCACUUGUCAUGGCGCUCUUUGGCCUAACCUGGCCCUUGCGCCAUAAAACACCACACAUCAUCAUCAUCAGCUUGGCUGCCAGAAAAUGCUUGAAUUUCUUUCAGUAUCCAAGUGACGAAAUAUUUCACUGACGGCCGUGUGUGAAACACGCAAGAUGACAAAACUGAUAGCAAAAUGAUGAGAUAUUUCUUUUAUAGCGUUCGGACUCUACUUUUGGUGAGGAUGUCGAUCGACCUUGGGCCUGGCGACAGCACACCCGACAUCGCCAAAGUGCAGCCUAUCAGUUGAGUGCCCCCGAAUGGACCAUCAACAUUGGAAAAUGAAGCAGAGCCAGGGGGAAAAGGUUCCGGUAACACUGCAUUCAGUAUGGUGGCCCAGACGUGUAUGCAAGCAACCUCCUUCAUGUGGACCAAGAACUACUCUGCAGUGUCUCACAGACUUCCAUGCGAAGCCCUCAACAUUCUCGUCUCAGUGGAAUGGCUGCUCAUCUAUCUGCGUGUCCAUCACCAAGAUGGCCAGUUGUAAAGCUCCUGUACCCGUUUAAGACAGCUUAAUGAUUUUUUUUUAUUUAGUUUUCAUGGUUAGCCGUAGAAUCUUAACAUUUUUGAUGUUUCUAACGUUUUUACCUGGCCCAAAGUGGUGCAAUAACUUUAAACCAGUGUAAUGUAUUUAAGUGAUGCUCACUCUAAUGCCUAUCUGGUUUUGUUUGUGUUUAAGAAAUUUGAAUGUCUGAUGAGGUAACAGCAUUUAAACUUGUCAUCGUGGCUCUUUUCAGUGAGCUGCUAGGAAAUAAGAUGCAAAACUUAUCACACGCCAGUUGUAGCAUUUUUGUUUUCAAGACUAAAGUAUACAUGUUUCAAAAGAUGGAAAGUGGGGAAAAAAGCCUCAAGAACAUAAUCAUCCUAGGAUUGUCAUGUCCUUACAACUCUGCAAUGGCUAAUGCCUCAUACAUCUUGGGAGCACAUUGGUCGCAAUGCCUACAGGUAUACUUGAUAAGAGAAUAGCUUGCACUCAGAUUUUCCACGCAGUUGAUGGCUGAUAGUUUUGUUUGUCGUCUUCAUGUUACUACUAUGUAUUCAAUAUUCAUUUACAUGUGCUGCGGUUUUUUGCAGUCACACACACACACACAUAUAUAUAUAUAUAUAUAUAUAUAUAUUCUUUGUUUUAAUAAAAAUUUAGUUGAGAGUUA
Long non-coding RNA from Dermacentor albipictus, 1416 nucleotides. RefSeq lists it as uncharacterized. The record is from RefSeq and is a predicted model, not a curated record. Lineage: Eukaryota; Metazoa; Arthropoda; Arachnida; Ixodida; Ixodidae.